Molecule: long non-coding RNA, 7875 nt
Filed under: Malus domestica (apple)
Lineage: Eukaryota; Viridiplantae; Streptophyta; Magnoliopsida; Rosales; Rosaceae
Description: long non-coding RNA (MDOM_LNC009368)
Source: RNAcentral
UCUCAACAAUCCCAUCAUUUCCCACUUCCUUGCAGCCAAUAAAAAAAAGAGGACAAAGUAUUCCCUUUCUCUUCUUCCUUCUCUCUCUCUCCCAAAGUUCCUUCUUCUCUGCAAUAACCUUGAACGAGCACCAAAGCUCGUAGAUCGACCCCAAAAACCACACCGUUGUGUUCAUCUCACCUCCACGAGCACAACCAUACCAACCAAACUCAGAAUGGACUAAUUUUGACUCGCUAACUCGAAAGGUCCAAAUCGAACGAGUUUUAGAUCGACAUGUUUUCGACCAAGUAACGGUGUUUUAGGACUCGGGAAAGCUCUUUCACAACUCCCCGAGACUCCUAGACUAGUUUUGGUGAGGAGCUGACGUAAAAAACUCGAGGUUUCGAAGAGUUGAGUUUUGGCCUUACAUUUCGAGGCAUUUUCUGGCCACCUCCGUCCAUUUUUUGGACUCCAAAAAGGUAUAACGCGAUUCUACUCUUCAUAAACUUCAUUUCCAUAUAAAUUUUGUGAAAAAUGGUUAAGAAAUGAAGAAGAUAUGAAAGUUUUAAAAUUUUCCUAAAAACUGGCGAAAUUUUCCAGUUUCUGGCAAGUUCAGACGACGGUGACUGGUAAGGAUCACCGGAGAAGAUGAAGGAAUAUUCUGUGAAAGUUGACAAAAUAUUCUAACGUCGUCAGGUAACGCCGUUAACUUCUGUUACCUUUUAACGGAAUAUUCUUAACAACCGUUAGGCCUCUGACAGUCUCUCCCCGAGCCUUCCCACGACUGCGCACCUUGUCACUGUUUAGUUAAAUUAGUUCUAGUUUAGUUUUAAUUUAUUCACAUAUUCACAUCACUUACUCUUAUAGUUACGUCACCUCACGGUGACGACCAGUAUGCUUCGAUCUUCUAGGGCUCGGGUGUGUCAGCUUGGUAUUAGAGUAUAGGUUUAGACAUUCUUGCACUUCCUAGUAUGUUUUAACUCUUGUUUUCAUAUGUUAGAACCAUGCCACCUCGUAGAGAGUCACGUGCCUCUUCUGAGAAUAAUUUUCCGGACUUUGGGCAAUUUUGUGAGGCUAUUGCUAGUACUUUUCAAUCUGCACUUCGUCGUCCCCAGAGGAACACCUUGGAUACUGUAUCCCACCUGAAGAUAAAUGAUUUCUUUGGCAAUGAAGCAUCGGAUAAAUUCGAGAUUUGGCCCGAUCAUUUUGAGAAAACCUUUUGAGUCAUGGAGCGGCAGUAAAAUCUUCCAUUAGAAAGAUGGGUCGAGACAGUGCCCUGGUUUUUUCAUUUGGGAGCAAAAUUUCGGUGGAUUUAGGAGUCACGUCCAUUGUCUGCCAUGAAUUAGGACAUUUUCAAGCGUCUAUUUCAAGUUAGAUUCAUACCUUCAGAGUACUUGGAUAGUAAAAAUGAUGAAUUCUCAUAUCUGAGGCAGGGUAAGAUGUUAGCCACUGAAUAUCAUCGAAAGUUCACGGAUUUAUCCCAUUGAUGUCCCAAGAUUCCCACGAAUCCUAGGGAGAUGCUUCAUCUUUUUAAGAGGGGAACUCGCAAGAAACUGCGUUUUAUGGCAACCACUACUCCAUGCACUACCUAUCAAGAAUUCUUCGAGGUUUUGCUUCGGGUUGAAGAUUCGGAGAAUGCUCCUGAUGAUGAGGAUGAGAAUGAUGAUAGGAAUGCCCAAUAGAACAAAAAUAGAGGGCAGUCAUCCAUGGGUCCUCGAAUGACUCAAAACUUUAAAAGAAGCGGAAACAUCUCUGGAUCGUUCAGCGGAGGUUCGAACCCUGGUACACCUCGGAGAGGUAGCAGAUCCACUGGCAAUUCUCAUUUUCAAAGUCAAUGAAACUCCAGCAAUUCUAGUGCUCAGCAUUGUCGUAGUUGCAACACCCGUUAUUUUGGCGAGUGUAAGAGCAAAACAGAUGAUGCUUCACUUGCAGCCAGAUAGGGCACAUGGCUAAUAAUUGUCCUCAGAACCAGAAGAAUCAGCCUGCUAUUCUACCACCUGUAGCCCCCUACAACAGUUUCCAGCACUUGGUACUCAUCAGCAGACAGGCUAUGGUGAAGUUUUUUACUGUCAGGGAGAUGUAGCCCAGUACUAGAGAGGACCAUACCAGUACACACAUGAGGUUCCUUACUACCAUGGAGGCUAUCAGCAGUUUCAGGGAGACUAUACGCCAUAUCGGGGUGGUGGAUCACAUAUGUAUAUUGAAGGGCAUUAUCAAAACCUAGAUAUAGCAUCUAGUAAUUAAGGCUCAAGCAGGCAGGCAAAUCCACCUAACUAAGGUUGAGGCAAUCAAGGUCCAAGUAAUCAGACUCAAGCAAACAGGGGUCUCGAAGGCAGGCAGAAUGCUUAGGCUAAUUUGGACUUGAUUAUGGGUACGUUGAUGUUCUAGGCCACAUUGCUAAAAUUUUAAUUGACUUAAGUGCUACACAUUCAAUUAUUUCCUAUAAGUUUUCUUAAACAACUCAACCACACCCCACUUCCCUCGGCUACGAGUUGGAGUUCUCGAUGCCUAGAGGUGAAGUUUGCUACAUUAGCUGGGAAUAUCAAGCAUGCCCUGUCCUUAUCGAAGAUACAGUCAUGCCGAUUAAUCUUGUUCCUUUGGAUAUCGUUGACUUUGACGUUAUCUUGGGCAUGGAUUGGUUACACUACAAUUGUGAUAAGUUGGAUUGUUAUCAAAAGAUUAUUACCUUUCACUGACCGGACAUGCUUAUUGUCACGUUUGUUGGUGAACAUAGUGGUAUAAAGCAUGGAGUUAUGACUGCCAUAAGGGCGAGGCGACUGUUGAAUAAAGGUUGUCAAGGAUACUUAACUAAUGUGGUGCUAAUGGAAGAGACUAUUGCAUCUGUAGAAGACGUUGGAGCAGUCAAACACUUUCUGGACUUUUUUCUUGAGGAUUUACCUGGCUUACCACCAAACCGCGAAGUGGAGUUCACCAUCGAUCUACUUCCAAGUACUAAUCCUAUUUAUCUUACAUUUUACCGUAUGGCUCAUGUAGAGUUAAGGGAACUUAAAACCCAAUUACAAGAACUUGUUGAUAAUGGUUUCAUUCAGCCAAACACUUCCAUUUGGGGAGCCCCAGUCUUGUUCGUAAGGAAGAAUGACGGAACUUUGAGGCUAUGCAUUGAUUACAAGCAGUUGAAUCGGGUGAUGAUUAAAAAUCGUUAUCCAUUACCUUGUAUCGCUGAUGUCUUCGACCAGCUUAGAGGUGCCCAUGUGUUCUCGAAGAUUGACCUAAGGUCUAGUUAUUACCAGUUGAAGAUCAGAAGCAACGACGUUCCGAAAAUAGCUUUCAGAACUCGAUUGAUAAUUAUGAGUUUCUUGUGAUGUCGUUCGGGUUGACUAAUGCACCAAUAACUUUUAUGGACCUGAUGAAUUGGGUAUUUCGUUUGUACCUCGACAUGUUCGUUAUUGUUUUCAUCGAUGACAUUUUGGUGUAAUCUAAAAGCGAGGCUGACCAUGCUAAGCAUUUGCGUCUAGUCUUGAAAAAGCUAAGGGAUAAUCAACUGUAUGCUAAGUUCAAUAAAUGCUAUUUCUGGCUGGAUCAAGUGUCAUUCUUAGGGCACAUGAUAUCAGCUCAGGGUGUGCUUGUGGACCCUCAGAAGGAAGCAACAGGGGAAAAUUGGGAGCAACCUCAGAUGGUUACUGAAGUGGGAAGCUUCCUUGGUUUUACUGGCUACUAUCGAUGCUUCGUGAAAGACUUUUUAGCCAUAGCACUACCUCUGACAAAAUUGACUAGAAAAUGAGUUCAGUUCAUAUGGAGUGAAGAUUGUGAACGGAGUUUUCAAUAGUCAAAGUACUUUCUCAUUCACGCUCCUGUCUUAGCACUUCCCGACGAUAGUGGAAACUUCAAGAUCUACAGUGAUGCAUCUCUGUAUGGUCUUGGAUGUGUGUUAAUGCGGUAUGGGAAGGUGAUUGUGUAUGCUUCACACCAGUUAAAGCCUUGUAAGAUGAACUAUCCUACUCAUGAUCUGGAGUUGGCAUCUAUCGUUUUCGUUCUAAAAAUCUAGAGGCAUUAUCUUUAUGGAGAAAAGUGUAAAAUUUCACUGAUCAUAAGAGUUUAAAGUAUAUUUUCACUCAGCAAAAGCUUAACCACCGGCAGCGGAGUUGGGUGGAGUUGCUCAGUGAUUAUGACUGCACAAUCGGGUAUCACCCCGAUCGUGCGAAUACUGUAGGUGAUGCCCUCAGCAGGAAAUCUCACGGCAGACUUAAUGCUCUUUAUGCAAGUAGUAUUCCUCUUUUGAUUGACCUAAGGUCUACAAGGGUUACUUUGAAAAUGGAUCGACGUGGAGCUUUACUUGCCAGCUUUCAAGUCAUACCGGUUCUGCUGGAUCGUGUUCUCGAAGCCUAGAUGCAUGAUGCUGAAUCUCAGGAGUUGUUACAGGCAGUGUUAGAUGGAAAAAAAAACUUCAGGAUUCGAAGGCCUGAUGGUAUGCUGAUGCAAGGUGAUCAGAUAUGUAUGAUGAAUGUUCAUGAGCUAAAGAAAGAGAUACUGGAUGAAGCCCAUAUUUCUGCUUACGCGAUGCAUCUCGGGAGUACCAAGAUGUAUCAUACCAUCUGACCCUUCUACUGCUGGCCAUGCAUGAAAAGAGAAAUUGCAGAGUAUGUUAGUCGUUGUGUAGUUUGUCAGCAAGUCAUGGCGGAAAGGAAUAAGCCAUUUAGGUUGCUACAACCACUCCCGAUACCUAGUGGAAAUGGGAAGAUAUUACAAUGUAUUUCUUGUACAAGUUACCUCGCACACGAAAUGGUUACGACAGUAUCUGGGUGAUAGUUGAUCAACUUACCAAGUCAGCACACUUCAUACUCGUUCAUGAAAAUUACUUGUUGAGUCAGUUGGCCGAGUGGUUUAUCUCUGAAGAUGUUAAGUACCAUGGUGUUCCAAUUAGUAUCAUUUCUGACCGGGACCUUUGAUUCACUUUGAAGUUCUGGGUAGCUUUCCAAUAAGCUUUGGGAUCGAGACUACUCUAUAGCACUACCUAUCAUCCUCAAACUGAUGGGCAAUCAGAGAGAACUAUCCAGACAUUGGAGGAUAUGUUAAGAUCAUUAGUUCUACAGUUCGGAGACGCUUGGCACAAGCAAUUACUGUUGAUAGAGUUCGCCUACAAUAACAGCUUCCAUUCUAGCAUUGGUAUGGCACUAUUUGAAGCGUUGUAUGGAAAACCAUGUUGUACCCUUCUGUGUUGGUCCGAAGUUGGUGAAAGAGUUUUAGUGGGCCCUAAAAUCAUGGAUAAGAUGACGUAGAACAUUCAGGUGAUAAAGGCUAACCUGAAAACAGCCCAGGACCAGCAGAAAAGUAUCGCCGACAAACAUUCCACCGAAAGAGUUUAUAAGGUUGGUGAUUGGGUAUUCUUGAAGCUAUCACCAUGAAAAGGUGUUGUACGAUUCGAAAAGAAAUGGAAGCUCAGCCCUAGGUACAUCGGACCGUACCAGAUCGUUGAGCAAGUUGGCGAAAUUGCCUAUCCACUCGCUUUACCACCAGAGUUGUCGAAAAUAUAUAAUAUGUUCCAUGUGUCGAUACUACAUAGAUAUGUCUUUGAUCCGUCACAUGUGAUCCCUCAUCAGCCACUAGAGAUCAAUCUAGAUUUGACUUAUGACGAGGUACCAGUGACGAUUCUCGAUUGGAAGGACAAAGUUCUCAAAAAUAAGACUGUUUGAUUGGUGAAAGUCUUGUGGAGGAACCACUCAGUUGAGGAAGCUACUUGGGAGACAGAAGAACGCAUGCGAUAUAUGUAUCCACGUCUGUUAUUUGAUUAUGAUCUCUAGUCAGUGUUGAAAUUUCAGGGAUGAAAUUUUCUUAAGGGGGUAGGUUGUGAUGACCCGUUCCCAAUUUUCUAUGUAAUUUCUCCCCGAGUAUAUGAAUUGACAUUUAUGCCCUUGUUGGCAAGCGUUGUGGACAUGUUUAUUUGUUCUUAAAUUAUUUUUCUCACUAUCAUAAUUAAAUUGUACUCGUUACUAUGAACACGUGGGCCCGCGUUAGACUCGAAUCGGACUUGUAACGUUAAAGUUACGCUCUAUCAAAGUACAACGAUAACAAGUAGAUUUGUACAUGCAUGUGUAUUAAAUUAUUAGUGUUAGAAACAAUGUGCUGGAUAGAUUUUCGGAUUCUUUUUACUGUAGGAAAUUUGAAAACCCAUAUCCUUAGUUUUCUUUUUAACCCAACCCGUACCUUCCCUUUUGUCACUCACCAAUCAACUUUCCCUCAAACCUCUCACCAAUCCCAUCAUCUAUCACUUCCCUGCAGCCAAUCAGAAAAAAAAGGAAAAAGCAUUCUCUCUCUCUUCUUCCACUCUCCCAAAGUUCCUUCUUCUCUGCAACAACCUUGAACAAACACCAAAGCUCGUAGAUUGACCACAAAAACCACACCGUUGUGUUCAUUUCAGCUCCACGAACAUAACCAUACCAACCAAACUCAGAAUGGACAAGUUUUGACUCGCUAACUCGGAAGGUCCGAAUCGGAUGAGUUUUAGAUCGACGUGUUUUCGACCAAGUCACGGUGUUUUAGGACUCGGGGAAGCUCUCUCACAACUCCCCGAGAUUCCUAGACUAGUUUUGGUGAGGAGUUGAAGUCCAAAACUCGAGGUUUCGAAGAGUUGAGUUUUGGCCAUACCUUUCGAGGCAUUUUUAGGCCACCUCUGUCCACUUUUUGGACUCCAAAAAGGUAUAACGCGAUUCUACUCUUCAUAAGCUUCAUUUCCAUAUAAAGUUUGUGAAAAAUGGUUGAGAAAUGAAGAAGAUAUGAAGGUUGGAAAUUUUUUCCAGAAACCGGAGAAAUUUUCCAGUUUCUGGCGAGUUCAGAAUGUGGCGAACGGCGGCUACUAGUGAAGAUCACCGGAGAAGACGGCGGAAUAUUCCGUCAAAGUUGACGGAAUAUUCUAACGCCUUUAACGUAUGUUACCUUUUAACGUAAUAUUCCUAACGGUCGUUAGGCCUCCGUCAGUUUUUGCCUACGUGUGGUGCCGCGUAUGGCCGUGCCAUAGCCGGCGCGUGGUGGCUUGUCUGGCGUCCAAAAAUUAUUCUAAAAAUUUGUGUAGGUCCGUGAUGUCAAGUAGAUCGAUUUCAUAUAUUUAAACCCUAGGUUUAAGCAAACUAUGGGGGUUUUAUUUAAGUUUCCAUAUAUGUGUUUAAUUAAUUUAAAUAUAGUUAUUUCACAUAUAGGGGAAAUGUAUCCUGAGGACUUGAGGGGUUAGGCAAGGAUCGGGGGUUACGAUUCGAUGACGUAUUUGUGAGUGGGCAGUUUGUUUUUAUACCUAUAAAUAGUUACAGUUUCCAUAAAUGCGUAUUUACUUCAUUUUUACACUUAUAUUGCCAAGUAUCGUUAUUGUGAUAUUAAUUGUGAUAAAUGCUAGUAUAUGGUUGGGAUAUUAUUGUCAUGACAUUCACGUAUAUUUGUACAUGCUCAUCUUGCUGCACCCUAGUGUUAGUACUCGCCCUAAGGCCAGGGCCAGUCCUUCACGUGUAUGUUCACAUCCGCACCGUUCGCUCGCCUUGGAUCCAAGUUAGGUGCCAGUCCUGUCGUUCAAAUUGCAUUAGGCAAUGGCGACUCGUUUGUGACUGUGCUUCUGCACCAACCUUCACAUGAUCGUAAUACUAGAGCGUAUUGAUUACAUCUAGUCCUGUUCGUGUCAGAGAUUAUCUGUAUGAACUCAUGUGUCAACUUAGAUAGAUGAACAAUUGAUUAUACUUGAUUAUCACAUGAUUAUAUUACUGUGGCAUUUGAUAUAUCAUGAUUUGGCAUAUUUCUAGCUAUAUUGCUAUUAUACUAUUGUUUACAUACUUACGUAAUAUGUUUUAAGGAAACUAUACUUGUUUUACAGCGAAGGGUUACUAUAUUUGAAAUUAAAGGUUUUUCUUACAAACGUUGUUUUGCUGAUCCACUCAACUUUGUUUUUCGCCCCUCCAG